AGCAGCCGCGGUAAUUCCAGCUCCAAUAGCGUAUAUUAAAGUUGUUGCAGUUAAAAAGCUCGUAGUUGAAUUUCGGGGUUCUACCGUCGGUCGGGCUAACAAGUCUGUACUGAUGUGUAGAAUUUCUACUUUCUGGGGAACUAUCAUGUUAUUAAUUUAGCGUGGUAGGAAACCAGGACCUUUACCUUGAAAAAAUUAGAGUGUUCAAAGCAGGCUUACGUCUGAAUACAUUAGCAUGGAAUAAUAAAAUAGGACGGUGGUCCUGUUUUGUUGGUUUCUGAAUCACCGUAAUGAUUAAUAGGGAUAGUUGGGGGCAUUAGUAUUCAAUUGUCAGAGGUGAAAUUCUUGGAUUUAUUGAAGACUAACUUCUGCGAAAGCAUUUGCCAAGGAUGUUUUCAUUAAUCAAGAACGAAAGUUAGGGGAUCGAAGACGAUCAGAUACCGUCGUAGUCUUAACCAUAGACUAUGCCGACUAGGGAUCGGACGAUGUUAAAUUUUAUUGACUCGUUCGGCGCCUUACG
RNAcentral lists this ribosomal RNA (520 nucleotides) under uncultured Scutellospora. Its description in RNAcentral is "SSU rRNA". It matches the Rfam family "Eukaryotic small subunit ribosomal RNA", at positions 569 to 1092 of the family's 1831-position model. The record is from RNAcentral. Lineage: Eukaryota; Fungi; Glomeromycota; Glomeromycetes; Diversisporales; Gigasporaceae.